GACGAACGCUGGCGGCGUGCUUAACACAUGCAAGUCGAACGGAAAGGCCCUGCUUUUGUGGGGUGCUCGAGUGGCGAACGGGUGAGUAACACGUGAGUAACCUGCCCUUUACUUUGGGAUACCUUCAGGAAACUGGGGCUAAUACCGGAUAGGAGCUCCUGCUGCAUGGUGGGGGUUGGAAAGUUUCGGCGGUUGGGGAUGGACUCGCGGCUUAUCAGCUUGUUGGUGGGGUAGUGGAUUACCAAGGCUUUGACGGGUAGCCGGCCUGAGAGGGUGACCGGCCACAUUGGGACUGAGAUACGGCCCAGACGCCUACGGGAGGCAGCAGUGGGGAAUAUUGCACAAUGGGCGGAAGCCUGAUGCAGCAACGCCGCGUGCGGGAUGACGGCCUGCGGGUUGUAAACCGCUUUCGCCUGGGACGAAGCGUGAGUGACGGUAAUGGGUAAAGAAGCACCGGCUAACUACGCG
This 468-nucleotide ribosomal RNA is filed under the name uncultured bacterium. RNAcentral's name for it is "partial 16S ribosomal RNA". It matches the Rfam family "Bacterial small subunit ribosomal RNA", at positions 28 to 507 of the family's 1533-position model. The record is from RNAcentral.